CGCCAGACUCCUACGGGAGGCAGCAGUGAGGAAUAUUGGUCAAUGGGCUUACGCCUGAACCAGCCAAGUCGCGUGAGGGAGUACUGCCCUAUGGGUUGUAAACCUCUUUUGUCGGGGAGCAAAAGCCGGACGUGUCCGGCUGUGAGAGUACCCGAAGAAAAAGCAUCGGCUAACUCCGUGCCAGCAGCCGCGGUAAUACGGAGGAUGCGAGCGUUAUCCGGAUUUAUUGGGUUUAAAGGGUGCGCAGGCGGAUUUUUAAGUCAGCGGUAAAAUCGUGGGGCUCAACCCCAUCCAGCCGUUGAAACUGGGGAUCUAGAGUGUGCGAGAGGUAUGCGGAAUGCGUGGUGUAGCGGUGAAAUGCAUAGAUAUCACGCAGAACCCCGAUUGCGAAGGCAGCAUACCGGUGCACAACUGACGCUCAGGCACGAAAGCGUGGGUAUCGAACAGGAUUAGAUACCCCUGUAUA
RNAcentral lists this ribosomal RNA (466 nucleotides) under uncultured bacterium. RNAcentral describes it as "bacterial SSU rRNA". It matches the Rfam family "Bacterial small subunit ribosomal RNA", at positions 329 to 794 of the family's 1533-position model. The record is from RNAcentral.